Long non-coding RNA from Saccostrea echinata, 2746 nucleotides. RefSeq lists it as uncharacterized. The transcript has 5 exons. NCBI's taxonomy places the organism in Eukaryota, Metazoa, Mollusca, Bivalvia, Ostreida, Ostreidae. The record is from RefSeq and is a predicted model, not a curated record.
UGUUGUAUUGUUGGACAGAAGGAAAGAGAGUGUCACGAAGAAGGGAACUGCUGUCAUUAUUAGCUUGGAAUGGAAUUUGUAUUUUGACAAAAGAUGCAGACAUUUUAAGACCCGCUGAAGUACUCAAUUCGCACAGCGCCGGCAUAUAAUCAUCAAGUUUGAUGAAAUGUCCUAAUAUGUAGAUGCUAAGUCAUUCAGUCACCUAGCUUGUGAGAAUGGAAUGAUCACAAAAAGGACAAGAGCUCAGAGCUGUAUGGAAAUUUACACAAAGGGUCAGUUAACGGAGUAAGCAGAUAUGGAGGAUAAUAUAUCAAAGGCAGCAUAGGCGUCCAAACUCCUGUUCAAGGUGCUUUUAAUCAGAAGCUUAAGAGACAAAAGACGAGCCAUUCACAAGGCAAAACUGAAUGUUUUAUAUGAUAUUGAGCAAGAAAAGUUUGAAGUGUCUUUGGGAAUGAUCAACAUCAAACUUGCUGAGGUUUUGAAGCCAUCGUACCAAAAGUGAAUCCAUUCGUGACACCAAUUAUCUGACCACCCUCUAGCAGAACCAGUGAGGAAGUGAUUCUAGCCAAUACUUCAGAAGUUUAGGACCUUCAAUAAUAAGGAUCUUGGGGCAUGUUGGGGAAAAAAAAUAGCAUGUGUUGAUUUUAUGGGAUCUUCCAAAUAUAGUUGUAUAGUAGAUAUUUGUGUACUUAAUACCUAUGUUUGUCAUUCUAGUCAUUAAAGGUCAUAUGAAACAAUGUCCAGAGCAUUUUUGGUUGUAUACGGAAAUGAGUUCAUCUGAGCUACUUUAAUAAGCCUGAAAUUACAUUUUGGAUUUUUUAGCUCUUCUGAGCCAAAGGCUCAAAGAGCUAAUGCUAUGGCCAUUUGUGCGGUGUGCGGCGUGCGGUGUGCGUAAACUUUUUAGAAUAUGGGCCAUAACUCAAGAACCCCUUGGCCAAUUAUUGUCAAAUUUGUCACAAGGUAUCCUUGGCCCAAGGGCUCCCUUUUAUACUAAAACUGGGGUUGUGACCCUUUAACAAGGGGAGAUAAUUAGGAAAAUAGAAACAAAAGUACUGGUUGCUAAAAAAAUCUUCUUCUCAAGAGCCACUGGGCAGAUUAUAACCAAACUUACACAAAAGGAUGAGGAUAUGUUGUAGAUUAAAAUAUGCACGGGAAUUUACCCUGGGGCAAAGGGCGUGGUCUCAAGGUCACUUCAAAGUUGACCAAAAAUUACAUUUUAUUAAAAUGUUGAUAUUUUGCUUACUAUAAGGACUAGGAUCAUCAAAUCUUGUCAGUUGAUGUAUCUAAGGACCUCAUAUCAUGUUGACUCAAAAGUAGGUCAUGGUGACCUACUUUUUAAAUUUUGCGGCCAUUCUUUUUCAAAAUGAUUUAGAGGCAUAUUUUGAACAAUUUAAGGCCUAUGAUUAUCAAACUUUGUCAGUUGAUGUACCUUGGGUCCUCGAAGUACGUCAACUAAAAAGUAGGUCGACUUGACCUACUUUUUGAAUUUUAUGGCUUAUCUUUUUCAAAACAAUUAAGGUCAUUAAUUUGAAUACCGAGAGGUUUAAAAUCAUUAAAUCUUGUAAGAUGAUGCAUCUUGGGGCCAUAAAACAUAUUUAUUAUACUCCCCGCAAACGAAGUUUAGGGGGGGUAUAUUGGAAUCACCAUGUCCGUCUGUCUGUCCGUCUGUCUGUCCGUCUGUCUGUAGACAAGAUUUUGUCCUGAGCAUUUCUCGGAAACUAUUGCAUAGAUUUGUCUGAAAAUUUGUACACUUAUUAUUCACCAUAUGAAGGUGUGCACCUGGUAUUUUCAUCAUGAUUGAAUAAUUUUUCUGCAUUUUACAGGUGUUUUUUUCAUUUUUAUUAUGUGUUUUGUACUUCCUUUACUCAAAGACUAUUUCAUAGAAUUGUAUGAAAAUUUGUACACUCAUUAUUUACCAUAUGAAGAUGUGCACCUGGUAUUUUCAACAUUAUUUGAUAAUUUUUCUGCAUUUUACAGGUUUUUUUUUUUCAUUUUUAUUGACUUAGUCAUUUUGGGUUUAUUUCUAAGGUUUGAGACACAGAAUCUAGAACAUCUGUACAAAAAUGUGAACUACAGCUUAAAACUAUUCAUUAAAACAAAAACAAAAAAAAAUCACCAAGUAUUAAAAACAAUUUUUACAUUACACAGCAGAUAGUGUAAAUCCAUUUGUCCCUUGGGAGUAAUGAGUGGACAUCAUCCAGUUAGAGAUAAAUUAAUGAGUUCAGUGUGGGAAGUUGUUAGGGCCUCUCUGAUCAAGCAUGUGUUAUCUAUAUCUCCUGGGAAUUUCAAGAUCUCUGUUCUUUAAUUCUCUUAAUUGUAAUUUAUUGUCUGUCAUAGUACAUAGUUACUGGAUGACCAGCCUUUCAUUUUUAAAAUGAAUUUGAUAUAAAGUUAUCAAGAUUAAUUUGAUUCUGUAAUUAAUUGAUUUUUUUUCAACAAUCAAUGCAGAAUGUCAUGUCUCAAAAAGAUGACAGAUAGUUGCAAUUUAUUUUUUCAAUAUAUUAAAAAACAAUGUAACUACAAUGUAUUGGUAUUGAUGUUUUAUUAGGUUGUUCCUUGGUUUCAUGCAUUAAAAAAAAUAAAAUGAGCAAUUAUUUUUUCACUCUAAAUGUUAAUAAGAAAACACCUCUUAGAUCCAUAAAAUAUUAGUGAUUUAGCACCUCUGAAAAACCCAGCGGGGGGUAUUUGUCCCUUUUGGACAGUUCUAGUUAAAAAGUAGGUCACAGUGACCUACUUUUUGAACUUU